This 440-nucleotide ribosomal RNA is filed under the name uncultured bacterium. Its description in RNAcentral is "partial 16S ribosomal RNA". It matches the Rfam family "Bacterial small subunit ribosomal RNA", at positions 338 to 795 of the family's 1533-position model. The record is from RNAcentral.
CCUACGGGUGGCAGCAGUGGGGAAUAUUGCACAAUGGGGGAAACCCUGAUGCAGCGACGCCGCGUGUGGGAAGACGGUCCUAUGGGUUGUAAACCACUUUCGCCAGGGACUAAGAUGACGGUCCCUUAGGAGGAAUCUCCGUCUAAAUACAUUCCGCAUGCCGCGGUAAUGGGUCGGGAGCGAGCGUUGUCCGGAUUUACUGGGUGUAAAGGGGGCGUAGUCGGUACUGCAGGUUGGGUGGAAAAUCUAUGGGCUCACCCGAUAGCCGCAGUUAAAACUGGUGUACUUGAGUGAAGUAGAGGCAGGCGGAAUGCGUAGUGUAGCGGUGAAAUGCGUAGAUAUUAGGAGGAACACCAGUGGCGAAGGCGGCUUGCUGAGCUUUGACUGACGCUGAGGCACGAAAGUGUGGGGAGCAAACAGGAUUAGAUACCCCUGUAGUC